RNAcentral lists this ribosomal RNA (418 nucleotides) under uncultured bacterium. RNAcentral's name for it is "bacterial SSU rRNA". It matches the Rfam family "Bacterial small subunit ribosomal RNA", at positions 917 to 1333 of the family's 1533-position model. The record is from RNAcentral.
GGACCCGCACAAGUAGUGGAGCAUGUGGUUUAAUUCGAAGAUACGCGCAGAACCUUACCAACACUUGACAUGUUCGUCGCGACUCUAAGAGAUUAGAGUUUUCGGUUCGGCCGGACGAAACACAGGUGCUGCAUGGCUGUCGUCAGCUCGUGUCGUGAGAUGUUGGGUUAAGUCCCGCAACGAGCGCAACCCUCACUUUUAGUUGCCAUCAUUUAGUUGGGCACUCUGAAAGAACUGCCAGUGAUAAGCUGGAGGAAGGUGGGGAUGACGUCAAGUCCUCAUGGCCCUUACGUGUUGGGCUACACACGUGCUACAAUGGCAUCUACAAUAGGAAGCAAGAUGGCGACAUCAAGCAAAUCCUAAAAAGAUGCCUCAGUUCGGAUUGCACUCUGCAACUCGAGUGCAUGAAGCUGGAAUU